RNAcentral lists this ribosomal RNA (200 nucleotides) under uncultured prokaryote. RNAcentral describes it as "partial 16S ribosomal RNA". It matches the Rfam family "Bacterial small subunit ribosomal RNA", at positions 1184 to 1382 of the family's 1533-position model. The record is from RNAcentral.
GUCAAAUCAUCAUGCCCCUUAUGUCCUGGGCUACGCACGUAAUACAAUGGCGGUCACACAGAGGGGUGCAAAGGCGCGAGCCGGAGCAAAUCCCUAAAAGCCGUCUCAGUUCGGAUCGCAGGCUGAAACCCGCCUGCGUGAAGUCGGAAUUGCUAGUAAUCGCGGAUCAGCACGCCGCGGUGAAUACGUUCCCGGGGCUU